This 361-nucleotide long non-coding RNA is filed under the name Homo sapiens (human). RNAcentral's name for it is "HSALNT0119029". The record is from RNAcentral. Lineage: Eukaryota; Metazoa; Chordata; Mammalia; Primates; Hominidae.
AGGGACUACUGCAGUUUCCGUCAACCAAGUUGACACUUCAGGGAUACUUUUGUGACCACCAGGCAUUACAAGGAUCCUCAAAGUUCCCCAGGGAGAAUCCUGUUGAAAAUGAAGCCACUAUCAUGGUUAAGAGGAUUUGAAAUCUAAGAUCAGGAGUGACUGCUUUCGGUGAAUACAAGUUUCUAAGACUAGAAGAUGGACAUUCUAAAGUUCAGAAAAAGUCACUUCUCAAAUCACUAAGUUAUGUUGCUUCCUUCACAAUGUUGACCAAGAAUCCCUUCACCCCUUUUCUUGUUAACAUUGCAGUCAAACAUUGAUUAUCAUGCACUUUAAUAAAAUAAUAGCCAAAUUGUUAUCUCAU